CAGUCGCCACGGUAAUACAUAGGUCGCAAGCGUUAUCCGGAAUUAUUGGGCGUAAAGCGUUAGUAGGCUGUUUAUUAAGUCUGGAGUCAAAUCCCAGGGCUCAACCCUGGCUCGCUUUGGAUACUGGUAAACUAGAGUUGGAUAGAGGUAAGCGGAAUUCCAUGUGAAGCGGUGAAAUGCGUAGAUAUAUGGAAGAACACCAAAGGCGAAGGCAGCUUACUGGGUCUAUACUGACGCUGAGGGACGAAAGCGUGGGGAGCAAACAGGAUUAGAUACCCCUGUAGUCCCUGUCUCUUAUACC
Molecule: ribosomal RNA, 301 nt
Filed under: uncultured bacterium
Lineage: Bacteria
Description: partial 16S ribosomal RNA
Rfam family: Bacterial small subunit ribosomal RNA
Source: RNAcentral